AUACUUACCUGGCAGGGGAGAUACCACGAUCACGAAGGUGGUUUUCCCAGGGCGAGGCUUAUCCCUUGCACUCCGGGUGUGCUGACCCCUGCGAUUUCCCCAAAUGUGGGAAACUCGACUGCAUAAUUUGUGGUAGUGGGGGACGGCGUUCGCGCUUUCCCCUG
RNAcentral lists this small nuclear RNA (164 nucleotides) under Cebus imitator (Panamanian white-faced capuchin). RNAcentral's name for it is "U1 spliceosomal RNA (ENSCCAG00000032483.1)". It matches the Rfam family "U1 spliceosomal RNA". From Rfam's summary of the family: U1 is a small nuclear RNA (snRNA) component of the spliceosome (involved in pre-mRNA splicing). Lineage: Eukaryota; Metazoa; Chordata; Mammalia; Primates; Cebidae. The record is from Rfam by way of RNAcentral.